GUGGGGAAUAUUGCACAAUGGGCGAAAGCCUGAUGCAGCAACGCCGCGUGAGGGACGACGGCCUUCGGGUUGUAAACCUCUUUUAGUAGGGAAGAAGCGAAAGUGACGGUACCUGCAGAAAAAGCACCGGCUAACUACGUGCCAGCAGCCGCGGUAAUACGUAGGGUGCAAGCGUUAUCCGGAAUUAUUGGGCGUAAAGAGCUCGUAGGCGGUCUGUCGCGUCUGCUGUGAAAACUGGAGGCUCAACCUCCAGCGUGCAGUGGGUACGGGCAGACUAGAGUGCGGUAGGGGAGAUUGGAAUUCCUGGUGUAGCGGUGGAAUGCGCAGAUAUCAGGAGGAACACCGAUGGCGAAGGCAGAUCUCUGGGCCGUAACUGACGCUGAGGAGCGAAAGCGUGGGGAGCGAACAGGAUUAGAAACCCGUGUAGUCC
Molecule: ribosomal RNA, 430 nt
Filed under: uncultured bacterium
Lineage: Bacteria
Description: partial 16S ribosomal RNA
Rfam family: Bacterial small subunit ribosomal RNA
Source: RNAcentral